RNAcentral lists this transfer RNA (83 nucleotides) under Allium spicatum. Its description in RNAcentral is "tRNA-Ser". It matches the Rfam family "tRNA". Rfam says of the family: Transfer RNA (tRNA) molecules are approximately 80 nucleotides in length. Their secondary structure includes four short double-helical elements and three loops (D, anti-codon, and T loops). Lineage: Eukaryota; Viridiplantae; Streptophyta; Magnoliopsida; Asparagales; Amaryllidaceae. The record is from RNAcentral.
GGAGAGAUGGCUGAGUGGACUAAAGCGACAGAUUGCUAAUCCGUUGUACGAGUGUACCGAGGGUUCGAAUCCCUCUCUCUCCG